Molecule: long non-coding RNA, 1239 nt
Organism: Octopus bimaculoides (California two-spot octopus)
Lineage: Eukaryota; Metazoa; Mollusca; Cephalopoda; Octopoda; Octopodidae
Source: RefSeq, a predicted model, not a curated record
UUACCGUGAGCAGCGAAUCUAUGUUUUUACCUGCUUGAUGAUAGAAUUGAAGAUAUAAACGCCGAGAAGAGGGGGGAAAGACAAAAAGCGAAGCGGUAUAAAGUAAAUGUUGUUUUAUUUCUAUGAUUGUUUCAGACGAUAAACAAGAUUGCAACGUUUGAUAUAUUUAAUGACAGUUGCGUCUGUACAUUUGGUGGUGUGUUUAAUGUUCGAUGCAUUUCUGCAUUUUAUGCUAUACACACCGUUCUGUCAACGAAACACAAGUCUUCUUCUACCCAAGAAUCUGUCGUACAAUAGAUUCCGUUGUCGUCAUUGUCAUCACACAUUUACCUGGCUGUCAUCACAUCAAAGAAUCGGUACAAAAACUUAAUGACGACAUCAAUAUUUCCGAAGAUAUCUUUAUAGGUGACACACAUACACACAUGCGCACAGGUGCUUCCAUGGUCGCGAGCAGACACAGACACCUCUUUUUCCUUCUCAUCCUUGACCCAGCUGAAUAUCGAGGAUAUAACCAGAGCUAGAAUGGCACUCGUUUUCUGAAUAAAAUGACGCAACCGGAAGUAAAGUGGAUUCGUCGAGGACACGACGAGCUGCCUGGUCAAAGAAUCGAACCCACGACUCGUGAUUGUGAGCCAAACACCUUAAUCACUAGACCACGCGUCUUCACUCUUGAUAUUACUACAUAUACUAAGCCCAGCGAGCUGGCAAAAUCGUUAGCGCGCCGGAGAAAAUGCUUCGCGGUAUUUCAUCCGACUUAACAUCAAAAGAAACGCCUCUAAAUACUAAGCAUUUUUUCUGAGUUCAAAUACCACCGAGGUUGACUUUGUCUUUUAUCUUUUCGGGGUCGAUAAAUUAAGUACCAGCUGAGCACUGGGGGUUUAUGUUAUCGAUUCACCCCUUCUCUGAAUUUGCUGGCCUUGUGCCAAAAUGUGAAACUGAUAUUACUACAUAUACGAAAUAUCAUUACUAAAUAUUUUUCUUUUAAAUCAAAUAUAUUCCUUUCUACUCUUGGUACAAGGUCUGAAAUUUGUGGGGAGGGGCUAAUCGAUUACAUCGACCCCCAGUGCGCAAUUGCUACAUAUUUUAUCGACCCCAAAAGUAUGAAAGAUAAAGUUAAUCUCGGUAGCAUUUGAUCUCAGAACGUAAAGAUGGAUGAAAUGCCACUAAGCAUUUUGUGCGGCGUUCUAACGAUUCUGCCAUCUCACCACCUUGAUCAUCGAAAUAAAUAAUACAGUCACA